CAAAGAUAGGUUAUAAGCGAAUGGUGGAUGCCUAGGGAUAUUAGAGCUAUGAAAGACGUGGCGUGCCUGCGAUAAGCAUCGGGGAGGUGGCUAGCAACCUUUGAUCCGGUGAUGUCUGAAUGAGGAAACUCUAUUGUGGUAAUGCGCAAUAAUCAUUGCAGUUAUGCAAUGAAGCUAACCCGCUGAAGUGAAACAUCUCAGUAAGCGGAGGAAAAGAGAACAAAUGUUUAUUCCCCAAGUAGUGGCGAGCGAAAAGGGAAGAGCCCAAACCAAUUUUUAUAAUUGGGGUUGCAAGGUUAUAGCGUCGGGGGCAUUAUUCAGAUCUUGAGAAAUCAAGAAUUGAAUAAUAUCUGCCGAGGGAGAGAAUUUAGGUAAUUAUUUAGAAAAAGCACCCUGGAAAGGGGCACCAUAGAGGGUAAUAGUCCCGUAUUUUAAAAAUAUUUUACGCUCCUUGCUAUUUUUCUUAAGUACUGUCGGGAAUGAUAACCUGGCAGGAAACAAGCCGAACUAUCGGCUAAGGCUAAAUAUCUAAUAUCACCAAUAGUGAACCAGUACCGUGAGGGAAAGGUGAAAAGUAGGGGGUUGACCCCGGUGAAAUAGAACCUGAAACCAUUUGCUUACAAAG
Molecule: non-coding RNA, 625 nt
Organism: Candidatus Staskawiczbacteria bacterium
Lineage: Bacteria; Candidatus Staskawicziibacteriota
Source: Rfam